UACGGAGGGUGCAAACGUUGCUCGGAAUCAUUGGGCGUAAAGCGCACGUAGGCGGCUCGUUAAGUCGGGUGUGAAAGCCCUGGGCUCAACCCAGGAAGUGCAUUCGAAACUGGCGAGCUUGAAUAUGGAAGAGGGUCGCGGAAUUCCCGGUGUAGAGGUGAAAUUCGUAGAUAUCGGGAGGAACACCAGUGGCGAAGGCGGCGACCUGGGCCAAUAUUGACGCUGAGGUGCGAAAGCGUGGGGAGGCAA
This 249-nucleotide ribosomal RNA is filed under the name uncultured bacterium. RNAcentral describes it as "partial 16S ribosomal RNA". It matches the Rfam family "Bacterial small subunit ribosomal RNA", at positions 524 to 772 of the family's 1533-position model. The record is from RNAcentral.